RNAcentral lists this long non-coding RNA (1428 nucleotides) under Parus major (Great Tit). RNAcentral describes it as "lncRNA (ENSPMJG00000009046.1)". The record is from RNAcentral. Lineage: Eukaryota; Metazoa; Chordata; Aves; Passeriformes; Paridae.
UUUUUGGACACUUUUGGUUCAAUCUGUUUUCACUUUGAAUUGGCACUUGGCAAUGAAGAAUUUAGUUUCUAUCUCCUUUGGUAGCUGACUGUUUGAGUUGCCUCUCUGAAUUAUUUCAGUUUUAGCUUUUGGGGUUAUUUUUUUUUCCCCCAGAUUUAACUGUUGUUGGCUCUAUCCCUGCUCUGUCCACAUAACAACAUUUGCAGCUAAUGGGAGGAAUGCAAAGGAGUGACACUGCUGAUUGCUUUGAUAAAAAAGAGACUUGCUUUUAUUACCAACUAAUUAAAUGGGGAAUUUUUCCUUUACCAGAGAGGCCCAAGGGACGGGAAGCAAAAGGUUUGUUUUUGCAAGAAGUUGCAGUGCUUGUUUUCUGUCAAAGCUCCACAAAGGAUGGUGAUUACCCCAGCACUGCUGGGGAAGGUGAGUGAGCGUGCAGCAUUACACAGGAGCCUGUUCUGAGCAGGAUUUCAUUCCCCUCUCGGGCUGUGUGUGCCCUGUAUCACUUUUCUGUGCUUACAGAAGCUGACAUGAUGAAGAAGUGCAGGGGUAACUUGGUGCUGCUCUCAACAAAGGCUGGUUCCUCUCUGAUGCUCUCUGGGCCAGUUUGCAGGUUCAGGCUUGUUCCUUUAGACCCACACUGACACAGAGGCAGGGGCAGAAGAACAUUUUUGGGAAACUGCUUUAGUGGUUUUUAAUCUGCUGUUAUUUCCUCCUUCCUGGAUUUUUCUAUAUUGAUUCCAAGCAAGUGUGAUAGGGAAGAGCUGUCUCUAAACUACACCCCAACGUGGGGAAAACAACAAAGCUUUGCUCUCCUCUUGCAGUUUAUCCAGUCAGGUUUCUUUUUUAUUCAGGGAAAUUGCUGGGGUUUUCCACACUGAUAAAAGCUGUGCUGUCAGAGACAUAAUGGUUUUACAUCGUAUACCUCUCAUGCAAGUAGUAAUUUAAAUUUGUCUUUACUAUUAUGAAAUAAGUAGGUAGUAGCAUGGUCUUGUGCCAGCACAGAUUAGUACAUUUAUAAUUAGAUUAGUACAAAUUGUUUAUAGGUUUCAGACUCUACUUAGCCCAAUGGAAUAUGCAUGCAAUGUGUAAAAUUGCUUUAUUUCGUGGAAUUCCUUUGCAAUAACAAAUGUGUAGUUCAGAAUAGAAUUUUACAUUUUUUACAUUAGUUCAAUAACAACUAUAAUCUGAUACUGUGGUCAUUUGGUUUAUGCAUUUUGCCAUUUAUUCAUCUAAACAGAAAGCAGCAUUUUGUGCCUGCCAGAGAUCUUGGUAUUUAUCUAUGAUUCAUUCAGUGUCUAUAAGUCAAAUAUACUCUUGAAAGUUUCCCUGAAGCUCUUGCUCGUGGGAAACCAACAGGCUUACACCAAACAUAUCUGUCACUACUAAAAGCUAUUUGAUAAGAGACUUGGGAAAAAAAAUCUUCUUAAA